RNAcentral lists this long non-coding RNA (499 nucleotides) under Homo sapiens (human). RNAcentral's name for it is "HSALNT0387492". Lineage: Eukaryota; Metazoa; Chordata; Mammalia; Primates; Hominidae. The record is from RNAcentral.
CCACGACUGACAGCUGCGGGAGCCGGGAGUUCGCCCUCCGCCAGGACCCGGGAGGAGAAUCCCCAAACCGUGACCCGGAGACUCGGGGCCGCCUUUUGUGGAACCCACGCGGGGUUGCGGCAACGCACACGCCGGCCGGCCCUGGUGAGCUCCUCGGGCGAGCGGUUUGUUUCCCUCCUUUCUUUUCCUCUCACCCCUCACCCCGCACCCCACCCCUUAAAAAUCCCUGUUGCAAGUGUAAUCAAAUGCUUGAUAGCAUCUCCCACACUCUCCCUGCACUGGUGCAUUAUCAGAUCCGGGAAGGCAUGCUUCCAGGCAAAUAGACCUAAUAAAUGCUAUUACUGGGAUUCUGCAAGCCCCGGCUGCACCAUAGUAACGAAAGCCCCGGCUAAUUUGGUUUAAGAAAACGAUCAACUGCACAGAGAGUGUGAGUGUGGAGCCUGUAUCUCUCCUCCCCACGCCGCCUCCCUUUCACACCAGCUCAAGAAGGCCCCAUGUG